GGUUAAGCGACUAAGCGUACACGGUGGAUGCCCUGGCAGUCAGAGGCGAUGAAGGACGUGCUAAUCUGCGAAAAGCGCCGGCGAGGUGAUAUGAACCUUUGACCCGGCGAUGUCCGAAUGGGGAAACCCAGUGUGUUCCGACACACUAUCGUUAACUGAAUACAUAGGUUAACGAGGCGAACCGGGGGAACUGAAACAUCUAAGUACCCCGAGGAAAAGAAAUCAACCGAGAUUCCCCCAGUAGCGGCGAGCGAACGGGGAGCAGCCCAGAGUCUGAAUCAGCUUGUGUGUUAGUGGAAGCGUCUGGAAAGUCGCACGGUACAGGGUGACAGUCCCGUACACGAAAAUGCACAGGUUGUGAACUCGAAGAGUAGGGCGGGACACGUGGUAUCCUGUCUGAAUAUGGGGGGACCAUCCUCCAAGGCUAAAUACUCCUGACUGACCGAUAGUGAACCAGUACCGUGAGGGAAAGGCGAAAAGAACCCCGGCGAGGGGAGUGAAAAAGAACCUGAAACCGUGUACGUACAAGCAGUGGGAGCCUCUUUUAUGGGGUGACUGCGUACCUUUUGUAUAAUGGGUCAGCGACUUAUAUUCUGUAGCAAGGUUAACCGUAUAGGGGAGCCGAAGGGAAACCGAGUCUUAACUGGGCGUUAAGUUGCAGGGUAUAGACCCGAAACCCGGUGAUCUAGCCAUGGGCAGGUUGAAGGUUGGGUAACACUAACUGGAGGACCGAACCGACUAAUGUUGAAAAAUUAGCGGAUGACUUGUGGCUGGGGGUGAAAGGCCAAUCAAACCGGGAGAUAGCUGGUUCUCCCCGAAAGCUAUUUAGGUAGCGCCUCGUGAAUUCAUCUUCGGGGGUAGAGCACUGUUUCGGCUAGGGGGCCAUCCCGGCUUACCAACCCGAUGCAAACUACGAAUACCGAAGAAUGUUAUCACGGGAGACACACGGCGGGUGCUAACGUCCGUCGUGAAGAGGGAAACAACCCAGACCGCCAGCUAAGGUCCCAAAGUCAUGGUUAAGUGGGAAACGAUGUGGGAAGGCACAGACAGCCAGGAUGUUGGCUUAGAAGCAGCCAUCAUUUAAAGAAAGCGUAAUAGCUCACUGGUCGAGUCGGCCUGCGCGGAAGAUGUAACGGGGCUAAACCAUGCACCGAAGCUGCGGCAGCGACGCUUAUGCGUUGUUGGGUAGGGGAGCGUUCUGUAAGCCGUUGAAGGUGUCCUGUGAGGGGUGCUGGAGGUAUCAGAAGUGCGAAUGCUGACAUAAGUAACGAUAAAGCGGGUGAAAAGCCCGCUCGCCGGAAGACCAAGGGUUCCUGUCCAACGUUAAUCGGGGCAGGGUGAGUCGACCCCUAAGGCGAGGCCGAAAGGCGUAGUCGAUGGGAAACAGGUUAAUAUUCCUGUACUUGGUGUUACUGCGAAGGGGGGACGGAGAAGGCUAUGUUAGCCGGGCGACGGUUGUCCCGGUUUAAGCAUGUAGGCGGAACGAUUAGGUAAAUCCGGUCGUUUAUUAACGCUGAGGUGUGAUGACGAGGCACUACGGUGCUGAAGUAACAAAUGCCCUGCUUCCAGGAAAAGCCUCUAAGCAUCAGGUAACAUCAAAUCGUACCCCAAACCGACACAGGUGGUCAGGUAGAGAAUACCAAGGCGCUUGAGAGAACUCGGGUGAAGGAACUAGGCAAAAUGGUGCCGUAACUUCGGGAGAAGGCACGCUGAUAUGUAGGUGAAGCCCCUGCGGGUGGAGCUGAAAUCAGUCGAAGAUACCAGCUGGCUGCAACUGUUUAUUAAAAACACAGCACUGUGCAAACACGAAAGUGGACGUAUACGGUGUGACGCCUGCCCGGUGCCGGAAGGUUAAUUGAUGGGGUUAGCGGUAACGCGAAGCUCUUGAUCGAAGCCCCGGUAAACGGCGGCCGUAACUAUAACGGUCCUAAGGUAGCGAAAUUCCUUGUCGGGUAAGUUCCGACCUGCACGAAUGGCGUAAUGAUGGCCAGGCUGUCUCCACCCGAGACUCAGUGAAAUUGAACUCGCUGUGAAGAUGCAGUGUACCCGCGGCAAGACGGAAAGACCCCGUGAACCUUUACUAUAGCUUGACACUGAACACUGGUCCUUGAUGUGUAGGAUAGGUGGGAGGCUUUGAAGCGUGGACGCCAGUCUGCGUGGAGCCAACCUUGAAAUACCACCCUUUAAUGGCUGGUGUUCUAACGUAGACCCGUAAUCCGGGUUGCGGACAGUGUCUGGUGGGUAGUUUGACUGGGGCGGUCUCCUCCCAAAGAGUAACGGAGGAGCACGAAGGUUAGCUAAUCCUGGUCGGACAUCAGGAGGUUAGUGCAAUGGCAUAAGCUAGCUUGACUGCGAGAGUGACGGCUCGAGCAGGUGCGAAAGCAGGUCAUAGUGAUCCGGUGGUUCUGAAUGGAAGGGCCAUCGCUCAACGGAUAAAAGGUACUCCGGGGAUAACAGGCUGAUACCGCCCAAGAGUUCAUAUCGACGGCGGUGUUUGGCACCUCGAUGUCGGCUCAUCACAUCCUGGGGCUGAAGUAGGUCCCAAGGGUAUGGCUGUUCGCCAUUUAAAGUGGUACGCGAGCUGGGUUUAGAACGUCGUGAGACAGUUCGGUCCCUAUCUGCCGUGGGCGCUGGAGAAUUGAGGGGGGCUGCUCCUAGUACGAGAGGACCGGAGUGGACGCAUCACUGGUGUUCGGGUUGUCAUGCCAAUGGCACUGCCCGGUAGCUAAAUGCGGAAGAGAUAAGUGCUGAAAGCAUCUAAGCACGAAACUUGCCCCGAGAUGAGUUCUCCCUGAGACUUUAAGUCUCCUGAAGGAACGUUGAAGACUACGACGUUGAUAGGUCGGGUGUGUAAGCGCAGCGAUGCGUUGAGCUAACCGAUACUAAUGAACCGUGAGGCUUAACCUU
This 2907-nucleotide ribosomal RNA is filed under the name Enterobacter ludwigii. RNAcentral describes it as "23S ribosomal RNA". It matches the Rfam family "Bacterial large subunit ribosomal RNA". The record is from RNAcentral. Lineage: Bacteria; Pseudomonadati; Pseudomonadota; Gammaproteobacteria; Enterobacterales; Enterobacteriaceae.